UACCAGCACCCCGAGUGGUCGGGACGUUUAUUGGGCCUAAAGCAUCCGUAGCCGGUUCUACAAGUCUUCCGUUAAAUCCAACUGCUUAACAGGUGGGCUGCGGAAUAUACUAUAGAGCUAGGAGGCGGGAGAGGCAAGCGGUACUCGAUGGGUAGGGGUAAAAUCCGUUGAUCCAUUGAAGACCACCAGUGGCGAAGGCGGCUUGCCAGAACGCGCUCGACGGUGAGGGAUGAAAGCUGGGGGAGCAAACCGG
Molecule: ribosomal RNA, 253 nt
Filed under: uncultured bacterium
Lineage: Bacteria
Description: partial 16S ribosomal RNA
Rfam family: Archaeal small subunit ribosomal RNA
Source: RNAcentral